Molecule: non-coding RNA, 463 nt
Organism: Pogona vitticeps (central bearded dragon)
Lineage: Eukaryota; Metazoa; Chordata; Lepidosauria; Squamata; Agamidae
Source: RefSeq, a predicted model, not a curated record
AGCAACCAAAAUUAUGGACAGGUUCAAAUGGGAGGAUGUUGUCUUGCGGUUAUCCCAGUUCCAUGAUGUUUAGGGAUUUAUAGAUUAAAAUAAGUGCCUUAAACUGUGCAUGGAAACAAAUUAGAAAUUAAUGCAGUUGAUAUAAGAGCAGUGUUGCAUGGUGUUUGGAGCACACAGAAAGCCAUCUGGCUGUUCCAUCGUGUUCUAUUUGAAAUUUCUAUACUUUGAGGAGAGCUCUACAUGGAACAUACUGCAAUAGAGUAAAUGGAAAAAUACUUAAGGUGUAGUUUGCUUUGGCCAGAUCUCCUUUCACUAAGAAGGGGCACAGCUGGCAUGCCAGCUGAAUUUGGACAAAGGUGCCGGUAAGGUAAUCUUUGAGAAAGCAUGCAGUCUCACCCAAAAUGACCUAAACCAAUCAUAGACUUGCCAUUACAAUGACAAUAAAUAUCUGCCCUUGUCUGGA